UACGGGGGGAGCAAGCGUUGUUCGGAUUUACUGGGCGUAAAGGGCGCGUAGGCGGCCACCGCAAGUCAAUUGUGAAAUCUCCGGGCUUAACUCGGAAAGGUCAACUGAUACUGCGGGGCUAGAGUGCGGAAGGGGCAACUGGAAUUCUUGGUGUAGCGGUGAAAUGCGUAGAUAUCAAGAGGAACACCUGCGGCGAAGGCGGGUUGCUGGGCCGACACUGACGCUGAGGCGCGAAAGCCAGGGGAGCGAACGGG
Molecule: ribosomal RNA, 254 nt
Filed under: uncultured bacterium
Lineage: Bacteria
Description: partial 16S ribosomal RNA
Rfam family: Bacterial small subunit ribosomal RNA
Source: RNAcentral